This 477-nucleotide ribosomal RNA is filed under the name uncultured bacterium. Its description in RNAcentral is "bacterial SSU rRNA". It matches the Rfam family "Bacterial small subunit ribosomal RNA", at positions 8 to 467 of the family's 1533-position model. The record is from RNAcentral.
AGAGUUUGAUCCUGGCUCAGAAUGAACGCUGGCGGCGUGCCUAACACAUGCAAGUCGAACGAGAAAGCGGGCUUCGGCCCGUGAGUAAAGUGGCAGACGGGUGAGUAACACGUGGGUAACCUGCCCUGAGGUGGGGGAUAACCCUCCGAAAGGAGGGCUAAUACCGCAUAACAUCUCGAGUUCCUCGGGACACGAGAUCAAAGUUAGCCUCUACAUGUAAGCUGACGCCAUUGGAGGGGCCCGCGUCCCAUUAGCUUGUUGGUGAGGUAACGGCUCACCAAGGCCGCGAUGGGUAGCCGGCCUGAGAGGGUGAUCGGCCACACUGGAACUGAGACACGGUCCAGACUCCUACGGGAGGCAGCAGUGAGGAAUUUUGCGCAAUGGGCGAAAGCCUGACGCAGCGACGCCGCGUGGAGGACGAAGGCCUUCGGGUCGUAAACUCCUGUCAAGUGGGACGAAUCCUGAGAGGAUGAAUAA